RNAcentral lists this ribosomal RNA (253 nucleotides) under uncultured bacterium. Its description in RNAcentral is "partial 16S ribosomal RNA". It matches the Rfam family "Bacterial small subunit ribosomal RNA", at positions 524 to 776 of the family's 1533-position model. The record is from RNAcentral.
UACGGAGGAUGCAAGCGUUAUCCGGAAUGAUUGGGCGUAAAGCGUCCGCAGGUGGCUGUGUAAGUCUGCUGUCAAAGAGCGAAGCUCAACUUCGUAAAGGCAGUGGAAACUACACGGCUAGAGUGCGUUCGGGGCAGAGGGAAUUCCUGGUGUAGCGGUGAGAUGCGUAGAGAUCAGGAAGAACACCGGUGGCGAAGGCGCUCUGCUAGGCCGCAACUGACACUGAGGGACGAAAGCUAGGGGAGCGAAUGGG